RNAcentral lists this long non-coding RNA (481 nucleotides) under Lathyrus oleraceus (garden pea). Its description in RNAcentral is "Pisum sativum (pea) long non-coding RNA (PSAT_LNC011039)". Lineage: Eukaryota; Viridiplantae; Streptophyta; Magnoliopsida; Fabales; Fabaceae. The record is from RNAcentral.
UUUAAUUCUUAUUAAAAUUAAUUGUAAAUAGUUGUUCUAAUCUGAAUACAAAUUCUCAUAAGUUGACCACUUUAUUGAUAUUUCACAUUUUAGAGAUAUAUAAUUAACUCUUAUUUACUAAGAGUACAAUACAUAAUAUUCAAAUGGAAACAACUCUUACUCCCAAUUUGUUACUGCAUAAUCGCUUAUUUAUUUCAGCUUCCCAUAGAUUCUAUUUAUUUGAGACUGAUCGAAUGCUCCAUUGCUCUUGAUUACAUAUUAUAAAACUAUAGAUUUACAUGUUAACAAUGAUGUACAAACAGUAACAUACAUGAAAAAUGAAAAAUGAAAUAUUUUCCUUUAAGAACAAAAAACUUUUGUUAAUUUUCUUACCUGAAACAGUGACCAACACAAUGCAAAAAAGCCCCAAUAGAAGAGACUGGCAAAUGAGCUUUGCCAUCUUUGUUUGAAGAUUUUCUUACAACUCUAUUUUCUCUUGUUC